AGAGUUUGAUCAUGGCUCAGAAUGAACGUUGGCGGCGUGGAUUAGGCAUGCAAGUCGUACGAGAAUCGUAGCAAUACGAGGAAAGUGGCGAAAGGGAGAGGAUUACGUGGGAAUCUACCCUCAGACCUGGGAUAGCGGCGGGAAACUGCCGGUAAUACCAGAUAAUGUCUUUGGACCAAAGGUGUGAUUCCGUCUGGGGAUGAGCCCACGUCCUAUUAGCUUGUUGGUGGGGUAAUGGCCUACCAAGGCAAUGAUGGGUAGCGGGUGUGAGAGCACGACCCGCCUCACUGGGACUGAGAUACUGCCCAGACACCUACGGGUGGCUGCAGUCGAGAAUCUUCGGCAAUGGGCGAAAGCCUGACCGAGCGACGCCGCGUGCGGGAUUGAAGGCCUUCGGGUUGUAAACCGCUGUCGUAGGGGAGCAAGAGAAGAGGGUUCUCCCUCUAAUUUGAGCGAUCCUAGGAGGAAGGACGGGCUAAGUUCGUGCCAGCAGCCGCGGUAAGACGAACCGUCCGAACGUUAUUCGGUAUCACUGGGCUUAAAGAGUUCGUAGGCGGCUCCGUAGGUGAGGUGUGAAAUCCCUCGGCUCAACCGAGGAAUUGCGCUUCAAACCGUGGAGCUAGAGGAAGAUAGGGGUGAGCGGAACAGAUGGUGGAGCGGUGAAAUGCGUUGAUAUCAUCUGGAACACCGGUGGCGAAAGCGGCUCGCUGGAUCUUUUCUGACGCUGAGGAACGAAAGCUAGGGGAGCGAACGGGAUUAGAUACCCCGGUAGUCCUAGCCGUAAACGAUGAGCACUAGUCUGUGGGGACCCUCACAUCCUCUCGGACGUAGCGAAAGUGUUAAGUGCUC
Molecule: ribosomal RNA, 849 nt
Filed under: uncultured bacterium
Lineage: Bacteria
Description: bacterial SSU rRNA
Rfam family: Bacterial small subunit ribosomal RNA
Source: RNAcentral